AAGUCGUAACAAGGUUUCCGUAGGUGAACCUGCGGAAGGAUCAUCGUUGUGAUAUCUUUGAUACCUGUGGGUUUUUUUCCAGAUCCCAACCAAAAGGAGAGAGGCGUUGACUGAGGUUUGUUUUGGAGAGAGAAAAAAGGACAAAACUUUCAACAACGGAUCUCUUGGCUCUCA
RNAcentral lists this unclassified non-coding RNA (174 nucleotides) under fungal sp. RNAcentral's name for it is "partial internal transcribed spacer region". The stretch from base 1 to 46 matches the Rfam family "Eukaryotic small subunit ribosomal RNA", at positions 1786 to 1831 of the family's 1831-position model. Lineage: Eukaryota; Fungi. The record is from RNAcentral.